AUUGAACGCUGGCGGCAGGCCUAACACAUGCAAGUCGAACGAGUGGCGGACGGGUGAGUAAUGUCUGGGAAACUGCCCGAUGGAGGGGGAUAACUACUGGAAACGGUAGCUAAUACCGCAUACCAUCAGAUGUGCCCAGAUGGGAUUAGCUGGUAGGUGGGGUAACGGCUCACCUAGGCGACGAUCCCUAGCUGGUCUGAGAGGAUGACCAGCCACACCUGAACUGAGACACGGGCCAGACUUCUAAGGGAGGCAGCAGUGGGGAAUCUUCCGCAAUGGAGGAAAGUCUGACGGAGCAACGCCGCGUGAGUGAUGACGGCCUUCGGGGUGGAAAGUCGGUUAAGCGGGACGACGGUACCGGAAGAGAAAGCAACGGCUAACUACGUGCCAGCAGCCGCGGUAAUUC
Molecule: ribosomal RNA, 406 nt
Filed under: uncultured bacterium
Lineage: Bacteria
Description: partial 16S ribosomal RNA
Rfam family: Bacterial small subunit ribosomal RNA
Source: RNAcentral